AUGCAUGUCUUAGAGCAAACGGUUCAACAGUGGGUCUGUGAAUGGCUCCUUACAUCAGCAGUCAUCUCUGUGAUAGAGUGUGGAUGGCAACAGUCCCAGUUGCCCAUUUGGACAUCCUCCAAAACCUGGUGGCUAAUACACGCAGGCAACAGUCUGCCAUGACAGUGUCCCCCUGAAGCCUUCGGGUGGAGGGUGUGGAUCACAUGGUGGAUUGCAACUGGCCGUAUGCAAGACCAGCGCCAGCAAUGGCAGUGAGGCAGCUGAAUCAAGCCAGUCCCUUGUGGACACCCGCUCUGGAGGUCUAGUGCUUCGAGCACUGCCCCUUGAUCACACGAACUUCUGACCUAUCAGCUUUGACUGUGGUGUAGUGGACCACAGUGGCUUUCACAGGUGACGGAGAAUUUGGGUUCGAUUCCGGAGAGGGAGCCUGAGAGAUGGCUACCACUACCAAGGUGGGCAGCAGGCGCGCAAAUUGCCCAAUACAGAAACAUCUUGUGAGGCAGCGACGAACUGCAGCAAUCCCGCAGGCAUCCUUGCCUGCGGGACUUGGAAUGGAUGCUAUCCAAACACAGUGAUGAGUAACGACUGGAGGGCAAGUCUGGUGCCAGCAGCUGCGGUAAUUCCAGCUCCAAGGGCGUAUACUAACAUUGCUGCUGUUAAAGCACUUGUAGUCGGCCACUGGGAUGCAGGUCUGCUAGGUGGCCAGCUGGCUUGGGGACCUUCAUGCUUCUCCUCGGAGUUGUGUGGGGGGCUUUGGGCUGGUUGGAUACAACCCCUGGUGGUAUGUCCCUGCUCCCGCAAAUCUCGAUGGUGAGAUCCUUUGCUCCUGCACAAAGACCCCUUCAGUGGGGUCCGAGGCGGUUACACAGCUGAGGCAUGUCUGGACACUGCAAGGUGAUCACACUUCGUGUGUGACCCUAGUCCACCUUCGGAGCCCACCAUCUCUGUCACCCUGGAUAACUCAGUGUGCUUCAAGCAUCCAGUCUUGGCUGGAUGCUCAUCCAUGGAAUGGCAAAGCAUCGACCGAACUUGGCAUCAGAGUUGUGCUGGCCUUGGAGCCUGUUCUGGACAAUGUGGGGCUGUCCCCUGGCUGUGGCUGAAGCCCACCCAUCUCUGGCUCAAAACCAGGGAGGUUGUGGCUGACCAGCACGACCAGUAAGGGCAGUUUCCAGCCGCUGAUGAUGGGAAUGCUCAGGGUGAAACCUAUUGCAACGCUAGAGGUGAAAUUCUUAGACCGCUGCAAGAGGGACAGCAGCGAAGGCGUUCUGCAAGUCCAUGUUCGUCGAUCAAGAAUGAGAGUGUGGGGAGCGAAGAUGAUCAGACACCGUCGUAGUCCACUACUGUAAACCAUGCCAGCUCAGUCUUGGUGAGGCAAGUAUCCGGACCUCAUCAGGGCUAUGCCCCCUUCAACGAGAAAUCCAAGCCUUUGGGUUCAGGGGGGAGUACUGUCGCAAGGCUGGAACUUAAAGGAAUUGACGGAAUGGCACCACAAGGCGUGGAGUAUGCGGCUUAAUUUGACUCAACACGGGGAAUGUUACCAGGUCAGGACCUUGCAGGGAUGGACAGACUGACAGCUCUUUCUUGAUUCUUGGGAUGGUGGUGCAUGGCCGCUCCUGAUUGGUGGAGUGAUUUGUCUGGUUGAUUCCGAUAACGAGUGAGAUAUCUGCCUUCCAAUAGCCCCAAGCUCACAUCUGUAGGGUGGGCCUCAGUGAAGUCCGAGGGUUGGUGUCUUCGGGCACCUCUCAACCGGGCACUGUUGGUCCCCUGAGAGCUCUGGGUAAACAGCUUCUCUGAGGUGCUGUGUACGCUGCCAAGUGCACGCAUGCUAGAGCCAACAGCAGGUCUGUGAUGCUCCCAGAUGUCCUGGGCCGCACGCGCACUACAUUGCUUCAGUGAAGGUGUUAUGCUCUCUUGCAGAGCCCUGUCCAGAAGUGGAUGGGAAACCAUUCAAGCCUGAUGCGUACUGGGGAUAGAUGAUUGCAACUGUCUGCCUUGAACGAGGAAUGCCUAGUAUGUGUGUGUCAUCAGCACACACCGAUUGUGUCCCUGCCAUUUGUACACACCGCCCGUCGUUGCUACCGAUGGAGGCAUGAUAGAGCCAUCAGGAGGCCCAGGUUAGCCUUCGUGCUGCCUAGUCAAAAUUGGGCAAUGUCCAGCCUCUAGAGGAAGCAAAAGUCGUAACAAGGUUGUUGUAGGUGAACCUGCAGCAGGAUCAUUG
Molecule: ribosomal RNA, 2218 nt
Filed under: Trachelomonas sp. M1262
Lineage: Eukaryota; Euglenozoa; Euglenophyceae; Euglenales; Euglenaceae
Description: SSU rRNA
Rfam family: Eukaryotic small subunit ribosomal RNA
Source: RNAcentral